RNAcentral lists this unclassified non-coding RNA (452 nucleotides) under Xylella fastidiosa. RNAcentral's name for it is "partial 16S-23S ribosomal RNA intergenic spacer". The stretch from base 100 to 172 matches the Rfam family "tRNA". Lineage: Bacteria; Pseudomonadati; Pseudomonadota; Gammaproteobacteria; Lysobacterales; Lysobacteraceae. The record is from RNAcentral.
AAAAAAUAUAAUUGUCUUAUCAGGCGUCCUCACAAGUUACUUGCAUUCAGGGUUUGAUGUUGGCAUAGGUUUGGGUUUAUGUUGGCGAUUUUUGUUCUGGGGGCCUUAGCUCAGCUGGUAGAGCACCUGCUUUGCAAGCAGGGGGUCGUCGGUUCGAUCCCGACAGGCUCCACCAUGAAAGUAUUUAUGGGUCUGUAGCUCAGGUGGUUAGAGCGCACCCCUGAUAAGGGUGAGGUCGGUGGUUCGAGUCCUCCCAGACCCACCAAUGUUAUAUCAAUUAUUCUGAAUGUGGUUUGCGCAUUUUUUAUGCUUAUCAGCCUUGGAGCUGUGAAGCGUUCUUUUAUAAUUUGAUGAUGUAGCAAGCGUUUGAACUUUUUGUUAAUAAUUUCUCAUUGGAAGCCUUAAGUGACAAUGUUUAUCCAUUGUCUUGUAGAUUUUGAGGCGACUUUGGG